RNAcentral lists this ribosomal RNA (492 nucleotides) under uncultured bacterium. Its description in RNAcentral is "partial 16S ribosomal RNA". It matches the Rfam family "Bacterial small subunit ribosomal RNA", at positions 29 to 507 of the family's 1533-position model. The record is from RNAcentral.
AGUGAACGCUGGCGGUAGGCCUAACACAUGCAAGUCGAACGGCAGCACAGUAAGAGCUUGCUCUUACGGGUGGCGAGUGGCGGACGGGUGAGGAAUACAUCGGAAUCUACUUUUUCGUGGGGGAUAACGAAGGGAAACUUACGCUAAUACCGCAUACGACCUACGGGUGAAAGCAGGGGAUCUUCGGACCUUGCGCGAUUGAAUGAGCCGAUGUCGGAUUAGCUAGUUGGCGGGGUAAAGGCCCACCAAGGCGACGAUCCGUAGCUGGUCUGAGAGGAUGAUCAGCCACACUGGAACUGAGACACGGUCCAGACUCCUACGGGAGGCAGCAGUGGGGAAUAUUGGACAAUGGGCGCAAGCCUGAUCCAGCCAUACUGCGUGGGUGAAGAAGGCCUUCGGGUUGUAAAGCCCUUUUGUUGGGAAAGAAAAGCAGCAGGUUAAUACCCCGCUGUUCUGACGGUACCCAAAGAAUAAGCACCGGCUAACUUCGUG